GACAGCUGGCUAAGUCUGAUCGUUCCCCUCCGUGCAACUUGAAAACUAUCACUGUAUACUGCUUUCCUGGCCAUUUGGUUUAGUAUCUCUGCCAGGUAAAUAAAUGAGAUUAUUGAAAAAAUAGGCAACCAAGUAAAGUUAUUUCUGCAUCAUUUUAAUUAUUUUGAGAUAUUUUAUGUUUUUUAAAAGUAGGUAUUACUAUUUACUUAUUUAAGGAACCUACAGUCAGGAAGUGGAAUGAACGUAGAAAUAUUUUUCUUAUGGACCGGAUUGACUUAUAAGUAAAGGUUAUCAGUAAUCAUCUAAAACUGAUUUAUAUGUAGAACAGCUGAUUAGAGGUAGCUUUCAUGAAAUUUUUUCAUUAAAUUUUUUUUAACCAAGAAAGUAAAUUUUUUUCCAAAAUACAUUUUAUGUCAUCUUUUAAGUCUAACCACAGUUCAAAGAAAUGACCAUUUCUAAGAAAAGCUGGAUACAAGUGUUUGGAUAUGAGGUGUGUCCAAAAGCUCUUAUUAAUGCAGGAAUAUUCAGAGGCAAAAUGAUUCGAUUAUGAGAGCUGUAAAAUGUAAUUGGUCCCUCCCAGUUUGAAUGGACUAAUUGAUAACUAUAGGCAGGUAGAACAUGACUAGAGGAGGUGUGUCACUGAGGGCAAGGGUACAUCUUUCUCUAGGACAUCUUCCUCUCUCCCCCUCCCCUUCUCUCUACCUUCUUUCAUAAUCUGCUUCCUGAUCCACCAUGAGCUAAGUAGUGUUCCUCUACUGGACCCUUCACCCCAUGAGGUUCUGUCCUACCUGGGGCCCAGAGCAGUAGUCAGCCCUCUAUGUUCUGAGUCCUGAAACUGUGAGCCCCAAAGAAACUUUUCC
RNAcentral lists this long non-coding RNA (860 nucleotides) under Marmota monax (woodchuck). The record is from RNAcentral. Lineage: Eukaryota; Metazoa; Chordata; Mammalia; Rodentia; Sciuridae.